AUUAGAUACCCUGGGUAGUCCACGCAGUAAACGAUGGAUGCUAGCUGUCCGGGGCGAAUGAGUUCUGGGUGGCACAGCGAAAGCGUUAAGCAUCCCACCUGGGGAGUACGCCGGCAACGGUGAAACUCAAAGGAAUUGACGGGGGCCCGCACAAGCGGAGGAACAUGUGGUUUAAUUCGAUGAUACGCGAGGAACCUUACCCGGGCUCAAACGGCACAGUGAUACUUUUGAAAGGAGGUAGCUCUACGGAGACUGUGCCGAGGUGCUGCAUGGUUGUCGUCAGCUCGUGCCGUGAGGUGUCGGCUUAAGUGCCAUAACGAGCGCAACCCCUAUUGUCAGUUGCCAGCAGGUAAAGCUGGGGACUCUGACGAGACUGCCGGCGCAAGCUGAGAGGAAGGCGGGGAUGACGUCAAAUCAGCACGGCCCUUACGUCCGGGGCGACACACGUGUUACAAUGGCAGGCACAGCGGGAAGCCACCCGGCGACGGGGAGCGGAACCCGAAAGCCUGUCUCAGUUCGGAUCGGAGUCUGCAACUCGACUCCGUGAAGCUGGAUUCGCUAGUAAUCGCGCAUCAGCCAUGGCGCGGUGAAUACGUUCCCGGGCCUUGUACACACCGCCCGUCAAGCCAUGGAAGCCGGGAGCGCCUGAAGCGCGUGACCGCGAGGAGCGCGCUAAGGUGAUACCGGUGACUGGGGCUAAGUCGUAACAAGGUACC
RNAcentral lists this ribosomal RNA (716 nucleotides) under uncultured bacterium. RNAcentral describes it as "bacterial SSU rRNA". It matches the Rfam family "Bacterial small subunit ribosomal RNA", at positions 777 to 1500 of the family's 1533-position model. The record is from RNAcentral.